RNAcentral lists this ribosomal RNA (484 nucleotides) under uncultured bacterium. Its description in RNAcentral is "partial 16S ribosomal RNA". It matches the Rfam family "Bacterial small subunit ribosomal RNA", at positions 30 to 507 of the family's 1533-position model. The record is from RNAcentral.
AUUGAACGCUGGCGGCAGGCCUAACACAUGCAAGUCGAGCGGAUGAAGGGAGCUUGCUCCUGGAUUCAGCGGCGGACGGGUGAGUAAUGCCUAGGAAUCUGCCUGGUAGUGGGGGAUAACGUCCGGAAACGGGCGCUAAUACCGCAUACGUCCUGAGGGAGAAAGUGGGGGAUCUUCGGACCUCACGCUAUCAGCUGAGACUAGGUCGGAUUAGCUAGUUGGUGGGGUAAAGGCCUACCAAGGCGACGAUCCGUAACUGGUCUGAGAGGAUGAUCGGCCACACUGGAACGGAGACACGGUCCAGACUCCUACGGGAGGCAGCAGUGGGGAAUAUUGGACAAUGGGCGAAAGCCUGAUCCAGCCAUGCCGCGUGUGUGAAGAAGGUCUUCGGAUUGUAAAGCACUUUAAGUUGGGAGGAAGGGCAGUAAGUUAAUACCUUGCUGUUUUGACGUUACCAACAGAAUAAGCACCGGCUAACUUCGUG